RNAcentral lists this long non-coding RNA (355 nucleotides) under Homo sapiens (human). RNAcentral's name for it is "HSALNT0361053". The record is from RNAcentral. Lineage: Eukaryota; Metazoa; Chordata; Mammalia; Primates; Hominidae.
CACCUGCUUGGCCCCGCCCCGUCUGCAUCUCCCCUGCUUGCUCCUGCCCUGCCCUCACCCACCUGCUUGGCCCCCACUUCUGAUGCCCGCCUGCUCUGCCUGGCCCGGAGGAGGACCCCAGCUGCGCCAGGGAGGAAGGGCAGGGUCAGAGGCCCACAGUGGGAGGAGCCUCAGAAGUCACCAAGAAUGCAUGAGGAAUGGGGAAGCUGAGGCUGACCAAGGGAAGGGUGUGUGGCUGCUGUGAGAUCAGCAUCUGCGGGCCAGGGCUGGGCUGCUAGAACAGCCAGGCCACCACAGGCUUCCUGGCCAACAUCCUCCUUCAGGCCGGCUGUGGUGGCUCAUGCCUGUAAUCCAG